This 193-nucleotide unclassified non-coding RNA is filed under the name plant metagenome. RNAcentral describes it as "partial contains small subunit ribosomal RNA and internal transcribed spacer 1". The record is from RNAcentral.
AAGUCGUAACAAGGUUUACCGUGAGGUGAACCUGCGGAAGGAUCCAAUUGACCGUGGGGAUUGCGGUCCCCAUUGAGAUAGCACCCUUUGUUCAUGAGUACCCUUGUUUCCUCGGCGGGCCUGCCCGCCAGUAGGACAAUAUCAAAACCCUUUUGCAGUAGUAGUAACUUCAGUUAAUAAACAAAUAUUAAAA